This 385-nucleotide ribosomal RNA is filed under the name Choanoflagellata sp. RNAcentral describes it as "partial small subunit ribosomal RNA". It matches the Rfam family "Eukaryotic small subunit ribosomal RNA", at positions 582 to 975 of the family's 1831-position model. Lineage: Eukaryota; Choanoflagellata. The record is from RNAcentral.
AUUCCAGCUCCAAUAGCGUAUAUUAAAGUUGUUGCAGUUAAAAAGCUCGUAGUUGGACUUCUGGGCCGUUUUGUUGGUCUGCCGCAAGGCUGCACUAGCGGGAUGGCCCAUCCUCUCGAAGGCUGGGGGUGCUCUUAACUGGGUGCUUUCAGAACUCGGGAUCUUUACUUUGAAAAAAUUAGAGUGUUCAAAGCAGGCUUACGCUUGAAUACAUUAGCAUGGAAUAAUGGAAUAGGACUUUGGUUCUAUUUUGUUGGUUUCUAGAACUGAAGUAAUGAUUAAUAGGGAUAGUUGGGGGCAUUAGUAUUUAAUUGUCAGAGGUGAAAUUCUUGGAUUUAUGAAAGACUAACUUCUGCGAAAGCAUUUGCCAAGGAUGUUUUCAUCG